This is a long non-coding RNA of Gallus gallus (chicken), 6698 nucleotides long. NCBI's taxonomy places the organism in Eukaryota, Metazoa, Chordata, Aves, Galliformes, Phasianidae. The record is from Ensembl.
GUAUGGGAUCUCUGUGGGAUCUAUUGGGAUCUAUGGGGUCUGUAUGGGAUCUGUAUGUGUUCCAUUUGGAUCUAUGGCGUCUCUAUGGGAUCUAUUGGUUUCUAUGGGGUCUCUAUCAGAUCUCUAUGGGAUCCAGUGGGAUCCACGACGUCCCUUUUGGAUCUCUAUGGGAUCCAGUGGGAUCUAUGGGGUCUCUAUGGGAUCUCUGUGGGAUCUCUAUGGGAUCCAUUGGGAUCUAUGGGGUCUGUAUGGGAUCCCGUGGGAUCUAUGGGGUCUCUAUGGGAUCUCUGUGGGAUCCAUUGGGAUCUAUGGGGUCUCUAUGGGAUCUCUAUGGGAUCCAGUGGGAUCUAUGAGGUCUCUAUGGGAUCCAUUGGGUUAUAUGGGGUCUCUAUAGGAUCUCUAUGGGAUCCAGUGGGAUCUAUGGGGUCUCUAUGGGAUCUCUAUGGGAUCCAUUGGGUUCUAUGGGGUCUCUAUGGGAUUCAUUGGGAUCUAUGGGGUCUAUAUGGGAUCUCUGCGAGAUCCGUUGGGUUCUAUGGCGUCUCUAUGGGGUCUCUAUGGGAUCCAUUGGGAUCUAUGGGAUCUCUAUGGGAUCCCUCUGGCAUAUAUGGGUUCUCUGUGGGAUCUCUGUGGGAUCCCAAUAGGAUCUGUGGGUCCCCACAGUGUCGUCGUUGUCCCCCCCCAUAAAGAACAUAAGCGACGCUAUGGGGCACAGCAGCGUUUAUUGGACGGCACCACGAGGGGGGGAGAGAGGGGGCAGACAACGCUGUGGGGCACGGGGAGGGGGGGGGGAAUCUAUGGGGCAGAGGGGGGGUGAAUCUAUGGGGCAGAAGGGGGUGAUGCUAUGGGGCACGGGGGGGGAAUCUAUGGGGCAGAGGGGGGCGAUGCUAUGGAGUGGGAUGGCAAUGAUGUGGGGCACAGAGGGGGCGCUGUGGGGUAGAGGGGGCGAUGCUAUGGGGGAGAAGGGGCAAUUCUAUGGGGCAGAGAGGGACGAUGCUGUGGGCCAGAGAGGUGAUGGUAUGGGGCAGAGGGGGCGAUGCUAUGGGGCUGGUGGUGAUGCUAUGGGGCAGAGGGGGAUGUUGCUAUGGGGCAGAGGGGAGUGAUGCUAUGGGGCAGAGGGGUGAUGCUAUGGGGCAGAGGGGCAAUGCUAUGGGGCAGGAGAGGUGAUGCUAUGGGGUGGGAUGGCAAUGAUGUGCGGCAUAGAGGGGGCGCUGAGGGGCAGAGGGGGGCGUUGCUAUGGGGCAGAGGGGGGUGAUGCUAUGGGGCAGAGAGGCUGAUGCUAUGGGGCAGAGAGGGAGAAUGCUAUGGGGCAGAGAGGGUGAUGCUAUGGGGCACGGGAGGGGGAAUCUAUGGGGCAGAGGGGGGCGAUGCUAUGGGGUGGGAUGGCAAUGAUGUGGGGCACAGAGGGGGCACUGUGGGGCAGAGGGGGCGAUGCUAUGGGGGAGAAGGGGCAAUUCUAUGGGGCAGAGGGGGAUGAUGCUGUGGGUCAGAGGGGUGAUGCUAUGGGGCAGAGAGGGACGAUGCUAUGGGGCAGGAGAGGUGAUGCUAUGGGGUGGGAUGGCAAUGAUGCGGGGCAUAGAGGGGGCGCUGAGGGGCAGAGGGGGGCGUUGCUAUGGGGCAGAGGGGGGCGAUGCUGUGGGGCAGAGGGGGCAAUGCUAUGGGGCAGAGGGGUGAUGCUAUGGGGCAGAGGGGGGUGAUGCUAUGGGGCAGAGGGUCAAUGCUAUGGGGCAGACGAGGGCGAUGCUGUGGGGCAGAGAGGGCAAUGCUAUGGGGCAGGGGGGGAAUCUAUGGGGCAGAGGGGGAUGAUGCUGUGGGGCAGAGAGAAUGCUAUGGGGUAGAGGAGGGCGAUGCUAUGGGGCAGAGAGGGAGAUGCUAUGGGGUAGAGGGCGGUGAUGCUAUGGGGCAGAGGGGGCAAUGCUAUGGGGCAGAAGGGGUGAUGCUAUGGGGUGGGAUGGCAAUGAUGUGGGGCACAGAGGGGGGCGCUGUGGGGCAGAGGGGGCGAUGCUAUGGGGGAGAAGGGGCAAUUCUAUGAGGCAGAGAGGGACGAUGCUGUGGGCCAGAGAGGUGAUGGUAUGGGGCAGAGGGGGCGAUGCUAUGGGGCUGGUGGUGAUGCUAUGGGGCAGAGGGGGAUGUUGCUAUGGGGCAGAGGGGAGUGAUGCUAUGGGGCAGAGGGGUGAUGCUAUGGGGCAGAGGGGCAAUGCUAUGGGGCAGGAGAGGUGAUGCUAUGGGGUGGGAUGGCAAUGAUGUGCGGCAUAGAGGGGGCGCUGAGGGGCAGAGGGGGGCGUUGCUAUGGGGCAGAGGGGGGUGAUGCUAUGGGGCAGAGAGGCUGAUGCUAUGGGGCAGAGAGGGAGAAUGCUAUGGGGCAGAGAGGGUGAUGCUAUGGGGCACGGGAGGGGGAAUCUAUGGGGCAGAGGGGGGCGAUGCUAUGGGGUGGGAUGGCAAUGAUGUGGGGCACAGAGGGGGCACUGUGGGGCAGAGGGGGCGAUGCUAUGGGGGAGAAGGGGCAAUUCUAUGGGGCAGAGAGGGACGAUGCUGUGGGCCAGAGAGGUGAUGGUAUGGGGCAGAGGGGGCGAUGCUAUGGGGCUGGUGGUGAUGCUAUGGGGCAGAGGGGGAUGUUGCUAUGGGGCAGAGGGGGGUGAUGCUAUGGGGCAGAGAGGGACGAUGCUAUGGGGCACAGAGGGAGGAUGCUAUGGGGCAGAGGGGGUGAUGCUAUGGGGCACGGGGGGGGGAAUCUAUGGGGCAGAGGGGGGCGAUGCUAUGGGGUGGGAUGGCAAUGAUGUGGGGCAUAGAGGGGGCGCUGUGGGGCAGAGGGGGGCGUUGCUAUGGGGCAGAGGGGGGUGAUGGUGUGGGGCAGAGGGGGGCGAUGCUAUGGGGCGGAGAGGGUGAUGCUGUGGGGCAGAGGGGGGCGAUGUUAUGGGGCGGAGAGGGAGAUGCUAUGGAGCAGAGGGGUGAUGGUAUGGGGGGGGGAUCUAUGGGGCAGGGGGGGGCGAAUCUAUGGGGCAGAAGAGGAUGAUGCUACGGGGUGGGAUGGCAAUGAUGUGGGGCACAGAGGGGGCGCUGUGGGGCAGAGUGCGGCGUUGCUAUGGGGCAGAGGGGGGGGUGAUGCUAUGGGGCAGAGAGGCUGAUGCUAUGGGGCAGAGAAGGAGAAUGCUAUGGGGCAGAGAGGGUGAUGCUAUGGGGCACGGGAGGGGGAAUCUAUGGGGCAGAGGGGGGCGAUGCUAUGGGGUGGGAUGGCAAUGAUGUGGGGCACAGAGGGGGCACUGUGGGGCAGAGUGGGGCGUUGCUAUGGGGCAGAGGGGGGUGAAGCUGUGGAGCAGAGUGGUGAUGCUAUGGGGCAGAGGGGGGAUGGGGCUAUGGGGCAGGGGAGGCUGAGAAGUGGGGCAGGGUGGGAUGACGCUAUGGGGCACUGUGGGGCGCGGAGGGGCGGUGCUGCUGUGGGGCUGAGCAGAGGUUUGGGGGCUGAAGUUGUGGGGCACAACAGGGGGUGCAAACGGGGCUGCCCCAUAGAUUUGGGGGCUGCCCCAUAAGUGUGCAUAUGUGGGUCCGGAGCUGCCCCAUAGAUUGCAUAGCUGCAGUUGUGGGGCUGCCCCAUAAGUGUGCGUAUGUGGGUCUGGGGCUGCCCCAUAAGUGGGUACCUAGAGCUGUGGGGCUGCCCCAUAGAUUGCAUAGCGGGGGCUGUGGGGCUGCCCCAUAAGUGUGCGUAUGUGGGUCAGGGGCUGCCCCACAGAUUGCAUAGGGGCGGUUGUGGGGCUGCCCCAUAAGUGUGCGUAUGUGGGUCAGGGGCUGCCCCAUAGAUUGCAUAGCGGGGGCUGUGGGGCUGCCCCAUAAGUGUGCGUAUGUGGGUCAGGGGCCACCCCAUAGAUUGCAUAGUGGGGGUUGUGGGGCUGCCCCAUAGCAUAUGUGGGUCAGGGGCUGUCCCAUAAGUGUGCGUAUGUGGGUCUGGGGCUGCCCCAUAAGUGAGUGCCUCGAGCUGUGGGGCUGCCCCAUAGAUUGCAUAGCAGCAGUUGUGGGGCUGCCCCGUAAGCGUGCGUAUGUGGGUCUGGGGCUGCCCCAUAGACUGCAUAGGGGCGGUUGUGGGGCCGCCCCAUAAGUGUGAAUAUGUGGGUCAGGGGCUGCCCCAUAGAUUGCAUAGCGGGGGCUGUGGGGCUGCCCCAUAAGUGUGCGUAUGUGGGUCAGGGGCUGCCCCAUAGAUUGCAUAGUGGGGGUUGUGGGGCUGCCCCAUAGCAUAUGUGGGUCAGGGGCUGCCCUGUAAGUGUGCGUAUGUGGGUCUGGGGCUGCCCCAUAGAUUGCAUAGCGGGGGCUGUGGGGCUGCCCCAUAGCAUUUGUGGGUCAGGAGCUGUCCCAUAAGUGUGCGUAUGUGGGUCUGGGGCUGCCCCAUAAGUGAGUGCCUCGAGCUGUGGGGCUGCCCCAUAGAUUGCAUAGCAGCAGUUGUGGGGCUGCCCCGUAAGUGUGCGUAUGUGGGGCAGGAGCUGCCCCAUAGAUUGCAUAGCUGCAGUUGUGGGGCUGCCCCAUAAGUGUGCGUAUGUGGGUCAGGGGCCGCCCCAUAGAUUGCAUAGUGGGGGCUGUGGGGCUGCCCCAUAGCAUAUGUGGGUCAGGAGCUGCCCCAUAAGUGUGCGUAUGUGGAUCGAAGGCUACCCCAUAGAUUGCAUAGCGGGGGCUGUGGGGCUGCCCCAUAAGUGUGUAUGUGGGGCUGCCCCAUAGUGCCCACCUCACUCCAUAGUGCUGCCCCAUAGAGCUGCCCUAUAGCUCUGCCCCAUAGUGCUGCCCCAGAUCUCUGCCCCAUAGUGCUGCCCCAUAGCACUGCCCCCCAUGGCUGCCCCAUAGCCCUACCCUAUAGCCCUACCCCACAGCUCUUCCCCAUAGCCCUACCCCACAGUGCUGCCCCACAGCGCUGCCCCAUAGCACUGUCCCAUAGUGCUGCCCCACAGCUCUGCCCCAUAGCCCUGCCCCAUAGCGCUGCCCCACAGUGCUGCCCCAUAGCACUGUCCCAUAGUGCUGCCCCAUAGCCCAGCCCCAUAGAGCUGCCCCACAGCACUUCCCCAUAGCCCCGCUCCAUAGCGCUGCCCCACAGCCCUGCCCCAUAGCACUGCCCCAAAGCGCUGCCCCAUAGCCCUACCCCACAGCUCUGCCCCAUAACCCUGCCCCACAUCCCUUCCCCACAUCCCUGCCCCACAGCCCUGCCCCAUAGCCCAGCCCCAUAGCACUACCCCAUAGCUUCCCUAUAGCCCUGCCCCACAGCGCUGCCCCAUAGCUCUGCCCCAUAGCCCAGCCCCAUAACUGUCCCAUAACUUCUUCAUAACUUUGCCCCAUAGCAACCCAAUAGCUCAGCCCCAUAGCAACCCCACAGCUGCCCCAUAGCAGCCCCACAGCUGCCCCAUUACCCUUCCCUAUAGCAACCCUAUAGCUGCCCCAUAGCCCAGCCCCAUAGCAGCCCCAUAACCCUGCCCCAUAACUGCCCCACAGCAGCCCCACAUCUGCCCCAUAGCCCUGCCCCCCAGCUGCCCCAUAGCAGCCCCAUAGCCCAGCCCCAUAGCAGCCCCAUAGCUUCCCCUUAUCCCUGCCCCAUAACAGCCCCAUAGGUGCCCCAUAGCUCUGCCCCAUAGCUGCCCCAUAGCUGCCCCAUAGGUGCCCCCCAGCUGCCCCAUAGCCCCCCAGCUGCCCCAUAGCAGCCCCAUAGGUGCCCCAUAGCAGCCCCACGGCUGCCCCAUAGCAUCACCUCAGCUCUGCCCCAUAGCAGCCCCAUAGGUUCCCCACAGCUGCCCCAUAGCUGCCCCACAGCAUCACCACAGCUCAGCAGCCCCAUAGCAGCCCCACAGCUGCCCCAUAGCAGCUCAGUGUGCCUCAGUGCCCCCCAGCUGCCCCAUAGCCCCCCAGCUGCCCCAUAGCAGCCCCGCAGCUGCCCCAUAGGUGCCCCCCAGCAGCCCCAUAGCAGCCCCAUAGGUGCCCCAUAGCAUCACCACAGCUCUGCCCCAUAGCAGCCCCAUAGGUGUCCCCCAGCUGCCCCAUAGCCCCCCAGCUGCCCCAUAGCAGCCCUACAGCUGCCCCAUAGCCCCCCAGGAGCCCCAUAGGUGCCCCAUAGCAGCCCCACAGCUGCCCCAUAGCCCCCCAGCAGCCCCAUAGGUGCCCCACAGCUGCCCCACAGCUGCCCCAUAGCAGCCCAAUAGGUGCCCCCCAGCUGCCCCAUAGCCCCCCAUAGCCCCCAUAGCAGCUCAGUGUGCCUCAGUGCCCCCCAGCUGCCCCAUAGCAGCCCCAUAGGUGCCCCAUAGCAGCCCCCCAGCUGCCCCAUAGCAGCCCCAUAGGUGUCCCCCAGCUGCCCCAUAGCCCUCUAGCUGCCCCAUAGCAGCCCCAUAGGUGCCCCAUAGCCCCCCAGCUGCCCCAUAGCAGCCCCAUAGGUACCCCAUAGGUGCCCCAUAGCAGCCCCACAGCUGCCCCACAGCUGCCCCAUAGCAGCCCCAUAGCAGCUCAGUGUGCCUCAGUGCCCUCCCAGUACUCGCGGGCCCCGGUGGGUUUGGGGCUGUGCGCCCCCCCUUCGCCCCCAUCCUCCUCGGGGGUCCCAAAACCGCCACCGCCGGGGGUCAGAAGGAUGAAUACGUCCUGGGGGGGCAACGGGGGUCAGUGGGGGUCAUGGGGGGGCAAUGGGGGGGAAAUGGGGGGCAAUGGGGGGCAAUGGGGGCAAUGGGGGAAAUGGGGGAAAUGGGGGG